UUCUCAUUGGCCUCAUGUCCUGUC
RNAcentral lists this microRNA (24 nucleotides) under Sus scrofa (pig). RNAcentral describes it as "ssc-mir187". Lineage: Eukaryota; Metazoa; Chordata; Mammalia; Artiodactyla; Suidae. The record is from RNAcentral.